RNAcentral lists this ribosomal RNA (24 nucleotides) under Potamogeton berchtoldii. Its description in RNAcentral is "partial 26S ribosomal RNA". RNAcentral also lists the same sequence under 2 other names. The record is from RNAcentral. Lineage: Eukaryota; Viridiplantae; Streptophyta; Magnoliopsida; Alismatales; Potamogetonaceae.
CCACGUCAGGCUAGAUCACCCGCU